AGCAGCCGCGGUAAUUCCAGCUCCAAUAGCGUAUAUUAAAGUUGUUGCAGUUAAAAAGCUCGUAGUUGAAUUUCGGGAUCAAUAUGUUGGUCGUGCCUUGGUACGUACUGGCAUUAUCGAUUCCUACCUUCUGAAGAACCUCGAUGUCAUUAAUUUGGUGUCUUGGGGAAUCAGGACUGUUACUUUGAAAAAAUUAGAGUGUUUAAAGCAGGCUCGCGCUUGAAUACAUUAGCAUGGAAUAAUGAAAUAGGACGUUUGAUUCUAUUUUGUUGGUUUCUAGGAUCGACGUAAUGAUUAAUAGGGAUAGUUGGGGGCAUUAGUAUUCAAUUGUCAGAGGUGAAAUUCUUGGAUUUAUUGAAGACUAACUACUGCGAAAGCAUUUGCCAAGGAUGUUUUCAUUAAUCAAGAACGAAAGUUAGGGGAUCGAAGACGAUCAGAUACCGUCGUAGUCUUAACCAUAAACUAUGCCGACUAGGGAUCGGAUGAUGUUAAUUUUUUAAUGACUCA
RNAcentral lists this ribosomal RNA (507 nucleotides) under uncultured Glomus. RNAcentral describes it as "SSU rRNA". It matches the Rfam family "Eukaryotic small subunit ribosomal RNA", at positions 569 to 1078 of the family's 1831-position model. The record is from RNAcentral. Lineage: Eukaryota; Fungi; Glomeromycota; Glomeromycetes; Glomerales; Glomeraceae.